GAAACUCGUCAGAAAGUCCCCUCCUUUACGAAUCUCCUCCAGCAAGUCAGCAUCAGCAAGACACACCCCGAGUCCCGAACCCCCAAACCCUCAGACGAUCAGUGACGACCCCUGGCAGCACUGAAGUCACGAAACUGGACUAGAAAUGCUGUAAUCUCAUCAGAAAAUGCUGCUUCCGGUGGUGUUUUCAACCCAGGAACAGAAGCAAAAGUGUCUGGAAUCACUGGAGAAAGCCCCAGGUCUCCCGAGAGCCGUUCUCAACUUCUCCUUGGCGCGGAGCACGGAUCAGUGAUCAGGCAGUGAACGCGGCAGAUGUUGAGGGUGUUAGGGGGAGGCGAGGCAGAUACCUGAGACUCCGCAGCUUGCCUGCCCUCCGCCUCCGUGUCUCAGAUCGCCGAAUUAAAACAGCGCUGCUCGCCACCUGCCUGAGGUCACACAGCCCGACAGAGGCCUGGGUGCAGACAAUCCAAGCCAGUUAGUGCCAGGCCCUGCCUCCCAGGCUGCUUCGUUAUUCCACUGACAUUACCCAAAUACUACGGCAGGCUGCGAUACCUUAAAAAAAAAUCACCAGCAGCUAAGAGACCCAGGCAGACAGCAUACGCCAGCCGUUGUUUCGUGUGCUGUUUCAGCCCAGCGUGUAUUUUUUCCCACCCUCCCAGAUGAAAAUACAGUAAUUAACUCCAUGCAGUGGGGGAUGGGGGAGGGAUUUCUUUUUUUUUUCCCCUCCCUAGACUUGAAAAGAAAUUCUGGCAGAUAAUUUGGCUGAACAUGAAAAGGGAGAGGCUGCUUACAGCCGUCCAAAUAAAGUGCUAGGUUGGUGAAGCUCCA
Molecule: long non-coding RNA, 828 nt
Organism: Dama dama (fallow deer)
Lineage: Eukaryota; Metazoa; Chordata; Mammalia; Artiodactyla; Cervidae
Exons: 2
Source: RefSeq, a predicted model, not a curated record